Molecule: ribosomal RNA, 253 nt
Filed under: uncultured bacterium
Lineage: Bacteria
Description: partial 16S ribosomal RNA
Rfam family: Bacterial small subunit ribosomal RNA
Source: RNAcentral
UACAGAGGCCUCAAGCGUUGUUCGGAAUUACUGGGCGUAAAGCGAAUGUAGGUGGUCAUGCAAGUCAGAUGUGAAAGCCCUGGGCUUAACCCGGGAAUUGCAUUUGAUACUGCGUUGCUCGAGUGCAGGAGAGGUAAGUGGAAUUCCUGGUGUAGGGGUGAAAUCCGUAGAUAUCAGGAGGAAUACCGAUGGCGAAGGCAACUUACUGGUCUGCAACUGACACUGAGAUUCGAAAGCAUGGGUAGCAAACAGG